AUGGCCACCGCCGUCGGCGUCUUCCGCUCUUUCCUUCACCCCACCGCCACUGCCGCCGCCAUCCCACUCCCUACUUCUGACUUCAACCUCAACAACUUCCAGUGGCACUACGUCGAGCUCCGCCUAUUCUCCUCCUCCCACCGUCACCACCCCAUUCUCCUGCCCACCUCCGCCUCCGCCGCUUCCGGCGAAGAGUUCUCUUCUAACGGAGAAUAUUACUCUGAGGAGGAUCUAGAGGAGUACGUGAACAAAGAUGGAGAGGGGGCAGAACCCGAGGUCCAGGCAGUUCGCAGUUACUAUCCACCGAGAAAUCAGCCGGCACUUGGACAAGAGCCCGGCCGAAUCUACGUCGGCAACCUACCUUACACCUUCAUCGCCCGCUGA
This 384-nucleotide ribosomal RNA is filed under the name Triticum aestivum (bread wheat). RNAcentral describes it as "partial small subunit ribosomal RNA". Lineage: Eukaryota; Viridiplantae; Streptophyta; Magnoliopsida; Poales; Poaceae. The record is from RNAcentral.